This is a non-coding RNA of Phasianus colchicus (ring-necked pheasant), 831 nucleotides long. Lineage: Eukaryota; Metazoa; Chordata; Aves; Galliformes; Phasianidae. The record is from RefSeq and is a predicted model, not a curated record.
UCACCGUGUCACCCUGCAGGUCCCCAAACGGAGGAGGUUGGGGGAUGAAAGCGAGGAGGGGGAGAACAGCCUCUACCAGGCCGUCGUCGGGGGGAGGGCGGCUGUGCAGGCUGUGGCAGACGAGUGGUUGGAGGACUACAAACGCGACCGCACCGCUGCCUUCCUGCAGCUGCUCAACUUCAUCGUCCGCUCCUGCGGCUGCCGAGGGACGGUGACGGCGGCGAUGCUGCGGGAGUUGGACAACGUGGGCAUCAUCCAGCGGCUGACAGAGAGCUUCCAGGAGGUGGGGACAUCAUGGGGACAUGAUGGGACAUCAUGGGACAUCGUGGGGAUGUGGGGACAUCGUGGGACAUCAUGGGGGCAUCAUGGGGACGGGAGGAGGAGGAGAGGUUGGAGGAGCUGCCGUGGGGUCGGGCUGUGGGAGCUGUGGGGACAUGGGGACAGGACCACCGUGUCACCUCCUGUCACUGUCAUCCCCUGUCCCCGUGGUCACAGUGACACCAGAUGUGACAAGGAUGGUACCAUCACGUCACCCUGUGCUUGUCCCCACGGCCACAGUGACAAGAGGUGACACAAGGAUGGUUCCAUCAUGUCACCACACCCUUGUCACCCCCUGUCCUUGUCCCCAUGGCCACAGUGACUCCAGGUGACACAAAUGGUUGAAUCCAUCAUGUCACCACACCCCUGUCACCCAUCCCUGUCACCCCCCGUCCUUGUCCCCAUGGUCACGGUGACUCCAGGUGACACAAGAAUGGUACCAUCUUGUCACCCAUUCUUGUCACUUGCUGUCCUUAUCCCAUGGCCGCAGUGUCCCCAGCUGUCACAAGGAUG